RNAcentral lists this long non-coding RNA (3681 nucleotides) under Marmota monax (woodchuck). Lineage: Eukaryota; Metazoa; Chordata; Mammalia; Rodentia; Sciuridae. The record is from RNAcentral.
ACCAAGCGCAGCGAUUGGAUAAUAAGGCCCUCUGUCUGAACUGCCUGGGUCACAUUGGGAGCAGAGGAAGAGUCAGGGUCACAUACAGGCAGCAUGAAGAAGCAGGAGCAGCCGGGCACAAGGAGAAACCAUCUAACAAAGCUAACAGUUCACAGAGCCUGGCCCGGCUACUCGUGAGUUUGCUGAGAGAGAAGAUCCAGGUCAGGUAGUAGACAGGACUGCGCCAGGGAGCCCCAGUUCUGGCCUGGAGAGAGAUGAUCAUAUGGGGAGUGAGCAUCUAUCAUGCGUGACUGCAAGAUGGCAUUUGGUGACCAACAGUCAAGACAACCUGGAGGGACCCAAGUGGACGCUGAUUGACAUUUUGGAUUGUUUCUGCCUGUGAAGGUGAAGCAGCCUUCUCAGGCUCAUUUCCAGGAAAACUUCAAAGACAACCACAGCCCACACAGGUGAAGAAAACCCCAGGACCACACCAUCCUCCAUGCUGAUGUCCCCCCACCAACCCAACCCAGAGAGGUGGGCUAAGAAUACCAGUGUGGAGAAGGCUGCAGGGGACGAACGUAGGUGCUAAGGACUAAGGGCACACACAAGGCCGAGAGGAUGCCUACAAACAUCCCACGUGAUCGUGUCAGUCUCAGUCAAGGUGCUAAACCAAACCAAAGAAGUUUAUGUAAGAGCUAAGCACAGGGAAAUGGGAGUCGGGUUGCAAGGGUGGUUUCUCCAGACCCAGGGGAGUGGGGGUAUUUUCCAAAGGAGGCCACCUGUGACCACAGAACAUCCUCCUGGGUUACAAGGUGAGUAAACAGGGGUGGCUGUUCACGUUGGCUAGGCCUGGAGUGGCCUCGGUCUCCUCUGCUGACAUCCUUGACUAAACUUUCUUCUGUGUCAACUCUGAAGUUGGUGGUGUCUGCUUGGAGCUCUGGGAGGAGAAGAAUCAGGAAGCCAUGUGUGUAACAGGAGUGAAUGCUAUGAGGGUUAACAGUGUCUGCCAGGGCUACAGACGUGGGAAGCAGAGGUGAGCAUGCUACACCAUGUUCCCCUCAACCUGGCUUUCAGUACUGGCCUUCACCCCAGGGGUUGGAACACUCCAGUCUUAAACAUAAGCAUCUGGAAUGUUAUCAGACAGAGUGGCAAGACCCCUCAAAUCCCAGGAUUUCAUCCAGACAACACCACAAAAUCACUGUGGCCUCAGUCAAGAACACCUGAGGCUCACCUGCCUCGGGGUUGGGGGGUGAAUGAACAGCUGGUGCUCCAUCCUGCAAAAGGGACUGGACCCAGCUCCUAGGAAGCUAUAUGCUGAGCCAACUCAAGAAAGGAUGGCAGCCCCUGUAGCUGCCUGCCGUGUCUCCCACACUCUCCUUGGAGUGGAGGGAGAUGCCAUGCCGGCGGGAACUGGAAGAAGUCCACUUAUGAAGGGGAGAGGGACAGAGUGCUGCCACCAGCUGACCCACCCCUCGCCACCUAGAUCCAGAGAUCACUGUCUUGUCAAUUCCAAGCAUCUUGGGCUCCACAUCACAACCAACAUAAAAGAGGAAGGGGCCUCUGGUCUGAUCCCUGAUCAGAUCUCUCUCCACUCCAGGAACCUCACAAAUAUCCCUAGCAAGCCAUCUCCUCACCACCACCACCCUUUUUUUUUUUGGUACCAGAGAUUGAACCCAGGGAUGCUAACCACUGAGCCACAUCCCCAGCCCUUUUACUUUUUAUUUUGAGACAAGGUCUCACUAAGUUGCUGAGGCUGGUUUUGAACUUGCGAUCUUCCUGCCUCAACCUCCCGAGUCACUUAUAGGCAUGCAACACGGUGCCAGGCUCUCCUUCCAUCAGCCAGGGGCAUUCUUCGCCAGUUAGGAAGUAGUUGAGGUGGGAAUUUUUCAACUUUUCAUAGAGAUUAUUCACUGAGGUUUAGAGGAUAAUUCCAAGGAGGAAAGGGCAAUAGCAAGCAUCGAGUUCAAUUUGAAGGAGAAAGUCCUAAAUUUGAAGAAUGAGACGGAGAAGGGAGACAUCGAAGCAGAAAUUGAUUCCAAUUAACUACAGCCAGUGAGUGCAGAUGUGUGAUUCAAACCUAGGUCUAACUCUGAAGCCUUCGUACACUACAGCAGAAGGAGAAGAAAUAACUAGGAAAAAAUCUAAAGAACCACAAGGGUUUUUAAAAGACCUUCCAUGAGAAAUGCAAGAUUUUAGAAAAUCCACAGUAUUAACAAUCAGAAAGAGAAGACGCAUUUUGGCUAAGAAACCAGAUGGACCAAUUUGUAAUAGAAAAAAUACUUGCUGAAACCAGUGUGUAUAGCAAAAUGUAUGCUAAUGAAACUGUAGGUGAGCAUUGUUUAAAACUAUGUGCAUGAAAUGAACCCAGAGACAAGAGAAUGUUCGAUAAGAAGGAAAGCUUUAUGCACAAUGUCCCUUCCACCUAUCUAGCGCUGUGCAUGUGACAUUGCCUGGAAUCUUUUCACCAACUCUAAAAAUGUAGGUAUUAUCCCCAUUUCAAAGAGGAGAAGACUGAGCCUCAGAGAGGCCAAGGCACUAGUAGUAGGGGCAGGUGUUCCAGCUGUUUGCAGUCGGAGUAGCCCAGGAUCUGUGUGAUGUGUCAGUGCCCAGGCCAUCCACUAAGCAUAAGUAAUACCUCUCCUGCUUGAAAACACAAUUUUUAAAAAGUCAGGGAAAAUGGGCCACAGUAGCCUGACUGGUAGCAAGAAAGAGUCCUUGAAGGAAAAUAAAUAAAAUCUAUGCAGAGUAAGAAAAACUGAUUAAAAUCAUAACUUCUCUUACUGUUGGAGCUGUCCUCGCUUUUAGAGGCUUGAGCCGGAGAUAUAUGUAUCUCAUUCUAAAUUCCAUUAAAUGCGCCUUCCAAAUCCCUGCGGGCCCCGCCCCCACAGCCAGCCUCUCCUUUCCGUGGAGAACUUCCGCACUUUCGCUUCACCCCCCAGCUCCUGAGCCAGAUUCAUAACUGCUCCUGCCCUCCCUCCUCUCCUCUCUGGGAGAUGAAACUAUUAGUGGACUAGAUCGGGAAGUUUCCAGAUGCUCUACAGUUUGGUCAAUGAAGUUUUCAUCCAAUAUGCAGGUUUUGAAGUAUGCAUGCUGGAUCUGUGACCUUGCAGGUCACCAUGCGGAGAAGCGCUCUGUAGGUGACUGCAGGUACAGUACUACUUCUGUCCCUCCCCUUUGAUCUCCAGCCAAAGUUCUUUCACUUUGAUUCCCUCCUCUUGGGUAUACAGAAUGCUAAGCAUACCUCUGCUUCCCUUCUUUCCUUCUAACAGGAUAAAGUCUCCAUGAGCCAGAAGCCCCACCCCACAAAAGUGGUGUUAUUACCGGAAUUGAAUUUAUCUCCCCGUGUUACAAUCUCAGGUCGCUCAGCUAUCUGGGAUUCUGACUUCUCCCAAACGUCUCAUCUUCACCAGCAAAUCACUGGACACCCUCUCUGUUUCAAUCGGGUCACCAAUGAAUAUUAGUUAGGGGGUUUUCUUCUGGCAAUUUUCUCUGCUCAUGCAUUUCCAUUGUAAAUUUAAAACCUCAUUCAUUUAGUCAAGAGAUAAGUAUUUAUCGCCACCUACCACAUGCUGGGCAGUAAAGGAAGCUGGCUCCCAGGAUCCCUGAAUGAACAAACCUCCUGAUCAGAGAGGUUCUGCUUUAGUCAUGCUGGGCCAACCUUCCUGUAUAUGGUUACUAUGAACUCUAGACAUGCCCUCCCCC